This 497-nucleotide ribosomal RNA is filed under the name uncultured bacterium. RNAcentral describes it as "partial 16S ribosomal RNA". It matches the Rfam family "Bacterial small subunit ribosomal RNA", at positions 28 to 507 of the family's 1533-position model. The record is from RNAcentral.
GAUGAACGCUGGCGGCGUGCCUAAUACAUGCAAGUCGAGCGAACAGACGAGGAGCUUGCUCCUCUGACGUUAGCGGCGGACGGGUGAGUAACACGUGGAUAACCUACCUAUAAGACUGGGAUAACUUCGGGAAACCGGAGCUAAUACCGGAUAAUAUAUUGAACCGCAUGGUUCAAUAGUGAAAGACGGUUUUGCUGUCACUUAUAGAUGGAUCCGCGCCUCAUUAGCUAGUUGGUAAGGUAACGGCUUACCAAGGCAACGAUGCGUAGCCGACCUGAGAGGGUGAUCGGCCACACUGGAACUGAGACACGGUCCAGACGCCUACGGGAGGCAGCAGUAGGGAAUCUUCCGCAAUGGGCGAAAGCCUGACGGAGCAACGCCGCGUGAGUGAUGAAGGUCUUCGGAUCGUAAAACUCUGUUAUUAGGGAAGAACAAAUGUGUAAGUAACUAUGCACGUCUUGACGGUACCUAAUCAGAAAGCCACGGCUAACUACGUG